CGUUCGGAUUGUAAACUUCUUUUAUAGGGGAUGAAUGCCUGCGUGAAUAACGCAGGGUGACAGUACCCUUUGAAUAAGCCACGGCUAACUACGUGC
RNAcentral lists this ribosomal RNA (96 nucleotides) under uncultured bacterium. RNAcentral's name for it is "partial 16S ribosomal RNA". The record is from RNAcentral.